This is a non-coding RNA of Ameiurus melas (black bullhead), 74 nucleotides long. The record is from the annotation of a GenBank genome assembly. Lineage: Eukaryota; Metazoa; Chordata; Actinopteri; Siluriformes; Ictaluridae.
GCGCACGGUGGCUUAGUGGUUAUAACAUUCGCCUCACACCUCCAGGGUCGGGGGUUCGAAUUCCCAAUGUGGCC